AUGGAGCGGCUGGUGGCUCCCCUGGGCAGAGGCUCCUGGAGCUGCCACGGCCCCCUCUGCCCACUCGCCCGCCGCUGUCAUCCUUUGGCCUUCACCCGUUUGGCGCGGCCCCCGCGCUGCCAGCUGAGCGAGGGGCAGAGCCGCGUCCCUCCGCCUGCGGGCGGUUACUCCUGGCAACGCGGCUGGGCCGGCUGUUGCCUCGGGCAGGGACCCAGGCGGCCGCGGGGGCCCUGUGUCUCGGUCUGUACGACAAGGGUGAACCCCUGCCCCGGCUGGCCGGCCGCCUUGCGAGGCGAAGCGGUCGCCAGAGUAAAGACAAGCGGGACUCGGGGCCGCCGCCUCCGAGAGGGCCCAAUUAGAGCGGCGAGCAGUUCCCACCGGAGGCCCUGGCUGCCCCUCAAAGCGCGGCGCGGGCCGGCGGCAGUGGCUCUGGAAGGGCUGAGGGAGCCGGGCAAGAGCCCCCAGCGUCUGCAGGCACUGCGUCCCCGGCAGGGAAGACCGCACACAUCCAGCAGCAGAAUCAUAUUCCCAGACUGGCACAACCGCCCAUGUACUCAUCUACAGCAAAAUGACACCGGAAAGGUGGACACAGGAAAGACAGCAGAACAUUCACGCCGCGAGCACCAGCCAGAGGGAAGCUGCGGCAAGCAGGGCACCGUGAGACAAAGGGGCAGAGGUGACAGCAGAUGCGGAUGGUCACCUCCGACCGCUGCAGAAGUCCCACUCAGCAGGAAACAGAGCAAUUCUAAAUUUGUAACACAGGCUCCUAUUUUAGAAAGCAAAAAUGGAUAAAACCCUAAGGUGAGACAGACAAAUCCACAGCUGUUGUGGGAGUCAUUUACCCCGUGUCUCUUCCUAUCUAUAGAGAAAUCACAGAGAUGUAGGAGACAGCGAGAGCAGGGGGAGCCCGCUUGACCUUGUGGACACACAGAGGACACAGCUUCUAACUGCAGGUGUUCCUCUUAAGCUUGCAGAAAGUGUUGACAAAAUAGUGACCGUAUGUGAUCAGCAAAGAAAACAGAGAGUGUUAAAAAGGUUGAAAUAGAGUGCGUUCUUGAACCACAACACAGCUUAGUAGAACUCAAUCACAGUUCAAUAUCAGACAAUUCCUACAGG
Non-coding RNA from Oryctolagus cuniculus (rabbit), 1116 nucleotides. NCBI's taxonomy places the organism in Eukaryota, Metazoa, Chordata, Mammalia, Lagomorpha, Leporidae. The record is from RefSeq and is a predicted model, not a curated record.